GAUUCAGUAAACUAAAGAAGUUAUAGGUUUCAUGCACCUAAUAUGUGUCACAAGGACUCUUGAAUCU
RNAcentral lists this transfer RNA (67 nucleotides) under Pyura gangelion. RNAcentral's name for it is "transfer RNA-Met". The record is from RNAcentral. Lineage: Eukaryota; Metazoa; Chordata; Ascidiacea; Stolidobranchia; Pyuridae.